This 515-nucleotide ribosomal RNA is filed under the name bacterium symbiont of Megymenum gracilicorne. Its description in RNAcentral is "bacterial SSU rRNA". It matches the Rfam family "Bacterial small subunit ribosomal RNA", at positions 527 to 1041 of the family's 1533-position model. The record is from RNAcentral.
GGAGGGUGCAAGCGUUAAUCGGAAUUACUGGGCGUAAAGCGCACGCAGGCGGUCUGUUAAGUCAGAUGUGAAAUCCCCGGGCUUAACCUGGGAACUGCAUUUGAAACUGGCAGGCUUGAGUCUCGUAGAGGGGGGUAGAAUUCCAGGUGUAGCGGUGAAAUGCGUAGAGAUCUGGAGGAAUACCGGUGGCGAAGGCGGCCCCCUGGACGAAGACUGACGCUCAGGUGCGAAAGCGUGGGGAGCAAACAGGAUUAGAUACCCUGGUAGUCCACGCCGUAAACGAUGUCGACUUGGAGGUUGUUCCCUUGAGGAGUGGCUUCCGGAGCUAACGCGUUAAGUCGACCGCCUGGGGAGUACGGCCGCAAGGUUAAAACUCAAAUGAAUUGACGGGGGCCCGCACAAGCGGUGGAGCAUGUGGUUUAAUUCGAUGCAACGCGAAGAACCUUACCUACUCUUGACAUCCAGAGAACUUAGCAGAGAUGCUUUGGUGCCUUCGGGAACUCUGAGACAGGUGC